AUACUCACUCUGUCGGUUUUGGAGCUCGUGUCCAGAUAGUAAACAUACAUAUUCUUAAAUGAUGAUUUUACUAUUCAGAAGAGAGUUUUUGUUAAGGAUAUAUUUGAAGAUUGACUUGCUCACAUGGUCUUUUACUCUGUGGACCUUGGCAAAGUAUACAGUAGGUUUUCGUUGCCAUUACAUAUUUUUGUCAUUGAAAUGUAUCUUUUGUGUUUUUAAAUGCAUCCAUUUUACAGUUGUGACUUUAUUAUUGACUUUAAAUAAAGAAGUAGAAAUAAAUGAAAAUUAAAGUGAAAGCCCUUUUAUUAAUGGGAAUAUAUUAGAAUGAUCAAGAAUAUUUUGGGUUCGUGUUUAUUUUUUAAUGAAUUCAUGGUUACUUGAGUGUGAAUAAUUACGCUUUAUAGGUGGAAAAAGCAGCAAAGAAAGGUAAAAUUAAAUGAAGAUGAGGAGGACUAUAGUCAUGGGAUUCUAAGAGCCAGAUAAAACAGUGGAAAUAAUCUAGUCUUUUCUUUUGUAGAGAGGAGGGCUAGGGAGAUAGCACUAGUCUCCGAAGUCAGACAGCUAGAUGGAGAGGACUUUAAAUAGCAUCCAGCACCUGAUAAACCUCAAGACAUAACGACCAAGAAGACAGUUUAAGUCUACACUUCUUACUAGUUGAUACAUUUGGUUCUAGUCCUAAUAAACAAAAAUGUCAUUAAAACAGCAUGCGUCACGUUUAAAACACCAAAAAGGUUAAGUAUUGGUUUCCAGCUGUUUGAGAGGACAAAAGUGAAGCAAAGCCUGUUCAAUCAUGGGAAGACUCGGAACGUUAUUUUAAAUAAGCAGUUGCAUGUAAUUCAGUUUUGUUCUCUGGUAGCCUGGCAUUUUCUUCCUAAUUUAGGAAAUCUCUAUACCAAUGGAUAUAUGCUUGAAUUAUUGUAUACGGUUCAUUGUCUGUAUUUGAACAUCUCAUUUCCUUUGGAGUGUUGCCACCUUUGAAGACAGUGUAGGCUUUUUUUUUUAAUUUUAUAAAGUAUUAGGUAUAUAUGAAGGAUAUUUAGAAGAUAUAUGCAAAACACAAGGAAUAAUAAUUCAGCGUACAUGUAAGUACACGGGUGUACCUACUACUGGGUUUGACUACUGGCAUCACCGUGACCUGGGUGCCCUUCACAGUGUCCUCUUUAUUCCCCUGGGGGGUAUUCCUUUUGUGUCAGUCCCGACCUUGCUCUUUGCUAUAGCGUUACCACAUAUGUUCGUGUCUCUGAACAGUGUAUCACUUGGCCUCAUACAUACUGAACUUCACAAGUGGAGCUCUACUCUUGUUCUGCAGGUGACUGUCUCGGUCCACACUGCCUUUCUGAGAUCGAUCCAUUUUGUAUGCAGCUGAGUCAGCACCCGCAAAUUCAGUCUAUCUGCUCAUUCUGCUGUCCGUGGACAUUCGUUGUCACGUCAGCUGGUUUGGUCGGCAGCAUUCUUCAGCAUGUCUUGCGACCAUACGCGUGCAGGAGCCUUCACACAGUGCACACCUGGGAGUAGAAUUGCUGGAUCAUAGAGCAUGUUUACAUUCACCUUCACUAGAUGGUGCAACAUAGCCGAACAGCGUGUGCCUUCCUGCCACGUUCUCAUGUUCCAGCUCUUCCGUGACCUCACCUGCGUCUGAUGGCGAUCUGUGCGUGUUGAGCAGUGUGAAGUGUUACAGAGGCUUUGUUACUGGUUAUGGAGGUUUUGUACCUUUCCGAGUGUUUCUUGCUCUUAGGUUUCCUUUCUGUAAAGCUUCUAUUCAAGUCUUUUGGAAAUGAUUUCAAGAAAUUGGCUUUCAGGGUUCCUUAUGUCUUCUGGCUGUUAACCCAUUGUCAGUUACGUGUAUUGCAAAUCUCUUUUGUCAGGUUGUGGUUUCUGUUGUCAUUCUGUUUGUGGUGUCUUUAGUGAAUUAAAAUUUUCAAUUAAAAAAAUGAAAAGUUUUUUUGUUUUGAGAGAGAAAGUUGUGUGUGUGCGUGCGCGCACAAGUGGAGGCGGGGCAGACAGAAGAAGAGACAGAAUCCUGAGCAGGCUCCUGCACCAUCAGCACAGAGCCCAGAGCCCGAUGCCAGGCCCUGAACUCACAAACCAUGAGAUCACGACCUGAGCCAAG
Molecule: long non-coding RNA, 2110 nt
Filed under: Lynx pardinus (Iberian lynx)
Lineage: Eukaryota; Metazoa; Chordata; Mammalia; Carnivora; Felidae
Source: RNAcentral